GAUGAACGCUGGCGGCGUGCUUAACACAUGCAAGUCGAACGGUGAAGCAGAGCUUGCUCUGUGGAUCAGUGGCGAACGGGUGAGUAACACGUGAGCAACCUGCCCCUGACUCUGGGAUAAGCGCUGGAAACGGCGUCUAAUACUGGAUACGAGCUGCGACCGCAUGGUCAGCAGUUGGAAAGAUUUUUCGGUCUGGGAUGGGCUCGCGGCCUAUCAGCUUGUUGGUGAGGUAACGGCUCACCAAGGCGUCGACGGGUAGCCGGCCUGAGAGGGUGACCGGCCACACUGGGACUGAGACACGGCCCAGACUCCUACGGGAGGCAGCAGUGGGGAAUAUUGCACAAUGGGCGGAAGCCUGAUGCAGCAACGCCGCGUGAGGGACGACGGCCUUCGGGUUGUAAACCUCUUUUAGCAGGGAAGAAGCGAAAGUGACGGUACCUGCAGAAAAAGCGCCGGCUAACUACGUGCCAGCAGCCGCGGUAAUACGUAGGGCGCAAGCGUUAUCCGGAAUUAUUGGGCGUAAAGAGCUCGUAGGCGGUUUGUCGCGUCUGCUGUGAAAACCCGAGGCUCAACCUCGGGCCUGCAGUGGGUACGGGCAGACUAGAGUGCGGUAGGGGAGAUUGGAAUUCCUGGUGUAGCGGUGGAAUGCGCAGAUAUCAGGAGGAACACCGAUGGCGAAGGCAGAUCUCUGGGCCGUAACUGACGCUGAGGAGCGAAAGGGUGGGGAGCAAACAGGCUUAGAUACCCUGGUAGUCCACCCCGUAAACGUUGGGAACUAGUUGUGGGGUCCAUUCCACGGAUUCCGUGACGCAGCUAACGCAUUAAGUUCCCCGCCUGGGGAGUACGGCCGCAAGGCUAAAACUCAAAGGAAUUGACGGGGACCCGCACAAGCGGCGGAGCAUGCGGAUUAAUUCGAUGCAACGCGAAGAACCUUACCAAGGCUUGACAUACACGAGAACGCUGCAGAAAUGUAGAACUCUUUGGACACUCGUGAACAGGUGGUGCAUGGUUGUCGUCAGCUCGUGUCGUGAGAUGUUGGGUUAAGUCCCGCAACGAGCGCAACCCUCGUUCUAUGUUGCCAGCACGUAAUGGUGGGAACUCAUGGGAUACUGCCGGGGUCAACUCGGAGGAAGGUGGGGAUGACGUCAAAUCAUCAUGCCCCUUAUGUCUUGGGCUUCACGCAUGCUACAAUGGCCGGUACAAAGGGCUGCAAUACCGCGAGGUGGAGCGAAUCCCAAAAAGCCGGUCCCAGUUCGGAUUGAGGUCUGCAACUCGACCUCAUGAAGUCGGAGUCGCUAGUAAUCGCAGAUCAGCAACGCUGCGGUGAAUACGUUCCCGGGUCUUGUACACACCGCCCGUCAAGUCAUGAAAGUCGGUAACACCUGAAGCCGGUGGCCUAACCCUUGUGGAGGGAGCCGUCGAAGGUGGGAUCGGUAAUUAGGACU
This 1445-nucleotide ribosomal RNA is filed under the name Microbacterium thalassium. Its description in RNAcentral is "bacterial SSU rRNA". It matches the Rfam family "Bacterial small subunit ribosomal RNA". Lineage: Bacteria; Bacillati; Actinomycetota; Actinomycetes; Micrococcales; Microbacteriaceae. The record is from RNAcentral.